Molecule: ribosomal RNA, 209 nt
Filed under: uncultured bacterium
Lineage: Bacteria
Description: partial 16S ribosomal RNA
Rfam family: Bacterial small subunit ribosomal RNA
Source: RNAcentral
CUCGUAGGCGGCCAACUAAGUCAGACGUGAAAUCCCUCGGCUUAACCGGGGAACUGCGUCUGAUACUGGAUGGCUUGAGAUUGGGAGAGGGAUGCGGAAUUCCAGGUGUAGCGGUGAAAUGCGUAGAUAUCUGGAGGAACACCGGUGGCGAAGGCGGCAUCCUGGACCAACACUGACGCUGAGGAGCGAAAGCCAGGGGAGACGAAACG